GCCCGUCUAGUUCAGUUGGUAGAUCGCAAGGCUCUUAACCCUGUGGUCGUGGGUUGGAGCCCCACGGUGGGCG
This is a non-coding RNA of Picea glauca (white spruce), 73 nucleotides long. Lineage: Eukaryota; Viridiplantae; Streptophyta; Pinopsida; Pinales; Pinaceae. The record is from Rfam.